This 254-nucleotide ribosomal RNA is filed under the name uncultured bacterium. RNAcentral describes it as "partial 16S ribosomal RNA". It matches the Rfam family "Bacterial small subunit ribosomal RNA", at positions 524 to 776 of the family's 1533-position model. The record is from RNAcentral.
UACGGGGGGAGCAAGCGUUGUUCGGAUUUACUGGGCGUAAAGGGCGCGUAGGCGGCCACUGCAAGUCAGUUGUGAAAUCUCCGGGCUUAACCCGGAAAGGUCAACUGAUACUGCAGGGCUAGAGUGCAGAAGGGGCAACUGGAAUUCUCGGUGUAGCGGUGAAAUGCGUAGAUAUCGAGAGGAACACCUGCGGCGAAGGCAGCUCGCUGGGACGGUACUGACGCUGAGACGCGAAAGCGUGGGGAGCAAACAGG